GUAGUCCACGCCCUAAACGAUGUCGAUUAGCUGUUGGGCAACUUGAUUGCUUAGUAGCGUAGCUAACGCGUGAAAUCGACCGCCUGGGGAGUACGGUCGCAAGAUUAAAACUCAAAGGAAUUGACGGGGACCCGCACAAGCGGUGGAUGAUGUGGAUUAAUUCGAUGCAACGCGAAGAACCUUACCUGGUCUUGACAUGUACGGAAGAACUCAGAGACGAGUUUGUGCCUUCGGGAGCCGUAACACAGGUGCUGCAUGGCUGUCGUCAGCUCGUGUCGUGAGAUGUUGGGUUAAGUCCCGCAACGAGCGCAACCCUUGUCAUUAGUUGCCAUCAUUUAGUUGGGCACUCUAAUGAGACUGCCGGUGACAAACCGGA
Molecule: ribosomal RNA, 376 nt
Filed under: uncultured bacterium
Lineage: Bacteria
Description: bacterial SSU rRNA
Rfam family: Bacterial small subunit ribosomal RNA
Source: RNAcentral